Molecule: ribosomal RNA, 452 nt
Filed under: Serratia symbiotica
Lineage: Bacteria; Pseudomonadati; Pseudomonadota; Gammaproteobacteria; Enterobacterales; Yersiniaceae
Description: bacterial SSU rRNA
Rfam family: Bacterial small subunit ribosomal RNA
Source: RNAcentral
UGAUCAUGGCUCAGAUUGAACGCUGGCGGCAGGCCUAACACAUGCAAGUCGAGCGGUAGCACAAGAGAGCUUGCUCUCUGGGUGACGAGCGGCGGACGGGUGAGCAAUGUCUGGGAAACUGCCUGAUGGCGGGGGAUAACUAGUGGAAACGGUAGCUAAUACCGCAUAACGUCGCAAGACCAAAGUGGGGGACCUUCGGGCCUCACGCCAUCAGAUGUGCCCAGGUGGGAUUAGCUGGUAGGUGGGGUAACGGCCCACCCAGGCGACGAUCCCUAGCUGGUCUGAGAGGAUGACCAGCCACACUGGAACUGAGACACGGUCCAGACUCCUACGGGAGGCAGCAGUGGGGAAUAUUGCACAAUGGGCGCAAGCCUGAUGCAGCCAUGCCGCGUGUGUGAAGAAGGCCCUCGGGUUGUAAAGCACUUUCAGCGAGGAGGAAGGGUAAUGUGUUA